AACGAACGCUGGCGGCAUGCCUAACACAUGCAAGUCGAACGCCUGUAGCAAUACAGGAGUGGCAGACGGGUGCAUAACACGUGGGAACCUACCCUUGGGUUCGGAAUAACCGCGGGAAACUGCGGCUAAUACCGGAUACGUCCUCUGGGAGAAAGAUUCAUCGCCCUUGGAGGGGCCCGCGUCGGAUUAGCUAGUUGGUGAGGUAACGGCUCACCAAGGCGACGAUCCGUAGCUGAUCUGAGAGGAUGAUCAGCCACACUGGAACUGAGACACGGUCCAGACUCCUACGGGAGGCAGCAGUGGGGAAUAUUGGACAAUGGGCGCAAGCCUGAUCCAGCAAUGCCGCGUGCAGGAAGAAGGCC
This 362-nucleotide ribosomal RNA is filed under the name uncultured bacterium. RNAcentral describes it as "bacterial SSU rRNA". It matches the Rfam family "Bacterial small subunit ribosomal RNA", at positions 29 to 416 of the family's 1533-position model. The record is from RNAcentral.